UGAGUAACCUGCCCUUGACUCUGGGAUAACCUCGGGAAACCGAAGCUAAUACCGGAUACGACCCUCGGAGGCAUCUCCAGGGGGUGGAAAGAACUUCGGUCAAGGAUGGACUCGCGGCCUAUCAGGUAGUUGGUGAGGUAACGGCUCACCAAGCCGACGACGGGUAGCCGGCCUGAGAGGGUGACCGGCCACACUGGGACUGAGACACGGCCCAGACUCCUACGGGAGGCAGCAGUGGGGAAUAUUGCACAAUGGGCGCAAGCCUGAUGCAGCAACGCCGCGUGAGGGACGACGGCCUUCGGGUUGUAAACCUCUUUUAGUAGGGAAGAAGCGAAAGUGACGGUACCUGCAGAAAAAGCACCGGCUAACUACGUGCCAGCAGCCGCGGUAAUACGUAGGGUGCAAGCGUUGUCCGGAAUUAUUGGGCGUAAAGAGCUCGUAGGCGGUUUGUCGCGUCUGCUGUGAAAACCCGAGGCUCAACCUCGGGCCUGCAGUGGGUACGGGCAGACUAGAGUGCGGUAGGGGAGAUUGGAAUUCCUGGUGUAGCGGUGGAAUGCGCAGAUAUCAGGAGGAACACCGAUGGCGAA
This 587-nucleotide ribosomal RNA is filed under the name Cryocola sp. RNAcentral describes it as "bacterial SSU rRNA". It matches the Rfam family "Bacterial small subunit ribosomal RNA", at positions 118 to 719 of the family's 1533-position model. Lineage: Bacteria; Bacillati; Actinomycetota; Actinomycetes; Micrococcales; Microbacteriaceae. The record is from RNAcentral.